CAGCUGUGCAGUGCUUCCGCCGCACCGCUGGUCACGCGACGUGGGGUCUCAGCGGCUUCCAAGGUUCAGUUGUUCUCAUUCAGCUUCAGGGAAUACGUAAGGAAGGAGAAGGAAGGAGAGGAGGCUGCGCUGAGACGUCAAGAGGAGAGAGAUCGCGGGCUGCCUACUCUGCCACGGCUGGUCAGUGGUAUGGUCGUGUGACUGUGACCGGAUUCCCUUGUAAUCAGGUGGACACUUUGUCAUGACAAUGCUCAGGCAGCCAGAAGCGCUGCCAGAGUGGUGAGGAAGGAGGGCGCGGGGGUGAGGCCUUCCUCCUGCAUCGAGGUCCACAGGGACAGCCCCUUCUCGCCCUCACUCUGCACGUCUGCACCAAAGAUUGGAGGCUGGAGCACUUCAGUCUGAUUACUGUGAUCCAUUAUGCAGCACCUCUCUGUAAGGUUAAGAGUGACUGACCCUGAGCACUGUUCUGGCCUCAGCUGGUUGGCCAGCCUCUAGGUAGGCGAACAGCAAGUCAUGCCGAGCCACCAGUGGUCCCUUCACAUUGGCAAUGAGGUCCAGCAUGUCCUGCAG
This is a long non-coding RNA of Scylla paramamosain (green mud crab), 570 nucleotides long. RefSeq lists it as uncharacterized. NCBI's taxonomy places the organism in Eukaryota, Metazoa, Arthropoda, Malacostraca, Decapoda, Portunidae. The record is from RefSeq and is a predicted model, not a curated record. The transcript is spliced from 5 exons.